ACGGCCAUACCAUAUUGAAAACACAGGUUCUCAUCCGAACACCAAAGUUAAGCAACGUCGGGCCCGGUCAGUACUUGGAAGGGUGACCACAUGGGAACUGUAGGUUAUUACCUU
Non-coding RNA from Cordylochernes scorpioides, 114 nucleotides. The record is from the annotation of a GenBank genome assembly. Lineage: Eukaryota; Metazoa; Arthropoda; Arachnida; Pseudoscorpiones; Chernetidae.